ACUUUCCUCUUAGACAAAACCCAACACGCUGGUACAUGCCAAUGCGAGUUGAGCAGUCAUUUUAGGGAGAGAGUAGACACUAAAUUGGGACAUAACAAGGAUCCCAUGAGACCCAUGCCCACAUCAGGUUCCAUAUCAAAGAGACCAAGCAGUGUUCAAUACGCCACUUCAUCAACACACUCGUUAUUGAUGUGUGGUUCAAAGAGACAGCUUUAAGGUUCACCAGAUGUCAUCAUGAGCAUGACACAAGACGAAAGAAACUGAUAGAAGCCAAAUAAAUGCCUUAUAUUGAGGUAAGCAGCACAAGAAACCCAAAAUUUAGUUAGGCUAUGGAAGCCUUAACAAACGAAUGAAAAGGUAUGCCAGGUGGAAGUUGUUGCACAAGCAAAGAGCCAACCACCAUUAACAAACC
This 412-nucleotide unclassified non-coding RNA is filed under the name Brickellia laciniata. RNAcentral's name for it is "partial external transcribed spacer". The record is from RNAcentral. Lineage: Eukaryota; Viridiplantae; Streptophyta; Magnoliopsida; Asterales; Asteraceae.